AAUAGAUACCCCGGUAGUCCACGCCGUAAACGAUGAGUGCUAAGUGUUAGAGGGGUUUCCGCCCUUUAGUGCUGCAGCAAACGCAUUAAGCACUCCGCCUGGGGGAGUACGGCCGCAAGGCUGAAACUCAAAGGAAUUGACGGGGGCGCGCACAAGCGGUGGAGCAUGUGGUUUAAUUCGAAGCAACGCGAAGAACCUUACCAGGUCUUGACAUCUCCUGACAACCCUAGAGAUAGGGCGUUCCCCUUCGGGGGGACAGGAUGACAGGUGGUGCAUGGUUGUCGUCAGCUCGUGUCGUGAGAUGUUGGGUUAAGUCCCGCAACGAGCGCAACCCUUGAUCUUAGUUGCCAGCAUUCAGUUGGGCACGUCUAAGGUGACUGCCGGUGACAAACCGGAGGAAGUGGGGAUGACGUCAAAUCAUCAUGCCCCUUAUGACCUGGGCUACACACGUGCUACAAUGGAUGGUACAAAGGGCUGCGAGACCGCGAGGUUAAGCGAAUCCCAUAAAACCGAUUCUCAGUUCGGAUUGCAGG
RNAcentral lists this ribosomal RNA (533 nucleotides) under uncultured bacterium. Its description in RNAcentral is "bacterial SSU rRNA". It matches the Rfam family "Bacterial small subunit ribosomal RNA", at positions 777 to 1304 of the family's 1533-position model. The record is from RNAcentral.